RNAcentral lists this ribosomal RNA (2049 nucleotides) under human oral metagenome. Its description in RNAcentral is "bacterial LSU rRNA". It matches the Rfam family "Bacterial large subunit ribosomal RNA", at positions 493 to 2558 of the family's 2925-position model. The record is from RNAcentral.
GAAUAGUACCGUGAGGGAAAGGUGAAAAGAACCCCGGGAGGGGAGUGAAAUAGAACCUGAAACCCUACACUUACAAGCUGUGGGAGCGCAUUAUUCGCGUGACCGCGUACUUUUUGUAGAACGGGCCAACGAGUUACGUUAUGUGGCAAGGUUAAGCACUUAAGGUGUGGAGCCGAAGCGAAAGCGAGUCUUAACUGGGCGCCAUAGUCACAUGACGUAGACCCGAAACCGGGCGACCUACCCAUGAGCAGGAUGAAGCGAAAGUAAAAUUUCGUGGAGGUCCGAACCCACGUACGUUGAAAAGUGCGGGGAUGACUUGUGGGUAGCGGUGAAAUUCCAAUCGAGCUCGGAGAUAGCUGGUUCUCCCCGAAAUAGCUUUAGGGCUAGCCUUGAAUGUAGAGAUGUGGAGGUAGAGCACUGAAUGUCCUAGGGGGUAUUGCACUUACCGAAGACUAUCAAACUCCGAAUGCCAUUAUCUUUUAUUCAGGAGUCAGACUAUGGGUGAUAAGGUUCAUAGUCGAGAGGGAAAGAGCCCAGACCGUCAGCUAAGGUCCCUAAAUGUAUGUUAAGUGGUAAAGGAUGUGGGAUUGCACAGACAACCAGGAUGUUGGCUUAGAAGCAGCCACUCAUUUAAAGAGUGCGUAAUAGCUCACUGGUCGAGUGAUCCUGCGCCGAAGAUUUCCGGGGCUAAAACAUACUACCGAAGCUACGGCAUCAUAUGAUGAUGGGUAGGGGAGCUUCCCAUGCAGGCUGAAGCGAUACCGUAAGGAGUCGUGGACAGUAUGGGAGAGAGAAUGUUGGCAUGAGUAGCGAGAUGAGGGUGAGAAUCCCUCAGGCCGUAAACCCAAGGUUUCCAGGGGAAGGUUCGUCCACCCUGGGUUAGUCGGGACCUAAGCUCAGGCCGAAAGGCGUAGGCGAUGGACAACAGGUUGAGAUUCCUGUACUACCGAUAAUCGUUUGAGAGAAGGGAUGACACAGUAGGAUAAGCUGAGCACACUGUUGGUUAAGUGUGUCUAAGCGUUGAGGCAGACUAGAUAGGCAAAUCCGUUUAGUUAAUGCUGGGGCGCGAUGGGGAGCGAAACUAAGUAGCGAAGCAGCUGAUUUCACACUGUCGAGAAAAGUCUCUAUCGAGAUUAAAGGUACCCGUACCGCAAACCGACACAGGUGGGUGAGGAGAGUAUCCUAAGGCCAGCGAGAGAACUGUUGUUAAGGAACUCGGCAAAAUGACCCCGUAACUUAGGGAUAAGGGGUGCCCCAGCAAUGGGGCCGCAGAGAAUUGGCCCAAGCGACUGUUUACCAAAAACAUAGGUUUCUGCUAAGUCGCAAGACGAUGUAUAGGAGCUGACGCCUGCCCGGUGCUGGAAGGUUAAGGGGAUCUGUAAGAGCAAUCGAAGCAGUGAUCUUAAGCCCCAGUAAACGGCGGCCGUAACUAUAACGGUCCUAAGGUAGCGAAAUUCCUUGUCGGGUAAGUUCCGACCCGCACGAAAGGCGUAACGAUUUGGGCACUGUCUCAACAACAGACUCGGUGAAAUUGUAAUCCCGGUGAAGAUGCCGGGUACCUGCGACAGGACGGAAAGACCCCAUGGAGCUUUACUGUAGCUUGACAUUGGGUUUCGAUACUACAUGUACAGGAUAGGUGGGAGACUAAGAAAUCAGGGCGUCAGUUUUGAUGGAGUCACCCUUGGGAUACCACCCUUGUAGUAUUGGGACUCUAACCAUAGGCCAUGAAUCUGGUCUUGGGACACUGUCUGGUGGGCAGUUUGACUGGGGCGGUCGCCUCCCAAAAGGUAACGGAGGCGCUCAAAGGUUCCCUCAGUACGGUCGGAAAUCGUACGAAGAGUGUAAAGGCAAAAGGGAGCUUGAUUGCAAGACAUACAGGUCGAGCAAGGUAGAAAUACGGACUUAGUGAUCCGGUGGUUCUGAGUGGAAGGGCCAUCGCUCAACGGAUAAAAGCUACCCUGGGGAUAACAGGCUUAUCUCCCCCAAGAGUCCACAUCGACGGGGAGGUUUGGCACCUCGAUGUCGGCUCAUCACAUCCUGGGGCUGUAG